UCUUCGGGGAUGAUUAAACCGGCGCACGGGUGAGUAACACGUGAGUGACCUGCCUUUUAGACUGGAACAACUUACCGAAAGGUGAGCUAAUGCCGGAUGAGUUAUAUAGGUGCAUGUUUAUAUAGGAAAAGUUGGGGAGACCUGACGCUGAAAGAUGGACUCGCGUCCCAUUAGCUAGUUGGUAGGGUAAUGGCCUACCAAGGCGACGAUGGGUAGCCGGCCUGAGAGGGUGGCCGGCCACACUGGGACUGAGACACGGCCCAGACUCCUACGGGAGGCAGCAGUGGGGAAUUUUGCGCAAUGCUCGUAAGAGUGACGCAGCGACGCCGCGUGAAUGACGAAGGCCUUCGGGUCGUAAAGUUCUUUCGACAGGGAAGAAAAUGCCUAUAAGUAACUGUGUAUGUAUUGACGGUACCUGUAUAAGCAGCCCCGGCUAACUCCGUGCCAGCAGCCGCGGUAAUACGGAGGGGGCGAGCGUUGUUCGGAGUGACUGGGCGUAAAGAGCACGUAGGCGGUGUUGUAAGUCAUUAGUCAAAGACUAGAGCUCAACUUUAGUAAGGCUAGUGAUACUAUAAUACUAGAGUAUCAGAGAGGAUUGCAGAAUUCCUGGUGUAGCGGUGAAAUGCGUAGAUAUCAGGAGGAAUACCGUUAGCGAAGGCGGCAAUCUGGCUGGAAACUGACGCUGAGGUGCGAAAGCGUGGGUAGCAAACAGGAUUAGAUACCCUGGUAGUCCACGCUGUAAACGAUGGAUGCUAGGUG
RNAcentral lists this ribosomal RNA (759 nucleotides) under uncultured bacterium. RNAcentral describes it as "bacterial SSU rRNA". It matches the Rfam family "Bacterial small subunit ribosomal RNA", at positions 77 to 822 of the family's 1533-position model. The record is from RNAcentral.